Molecule: ribosomal RNA, 451 nt
Filed under: uncultured bacterium
Lineage: Bacteria
Description: partial 16S ribosomal RNA
Rfam family: Bacterial small subunit ribosomal RNA
Source: RNAcentral
AGCGACCGCUCGCGGCAGGCCUAACACAUGCAAGUCGAGCGGGCGUAGCAAUACGUCAGCGGCAGACGGGGGAGUAACCCGUGGGAACGUGCCCUUUCGUUCGGAAUAAAUCAGGGAAAAUGGCGCUAAUACCGGAUCAGUCCUUCGGGGGAAAGAUUUAUUGCCAUUGGUGCGGCCCGAGUCGGAUUAGCUAGUUGGUGAGGUAAUGGCUCACCAAGGCGACGAUCCGUAGCUGGUCUGAGAGGAUGACCAGCCUCACUGGGACGGAGACACAGCCCAGACUCCUACGGGAGGCAGCAGUGGGUAAUAUUGCACAAUGGGCGCGAGCCUGAUCCAGCCAUGCCGCGUGGAUGAUGAAGGCCCUAGGGUUGUAAAGUCCUUUUACCGGGGAAGAUAAUGACGGUACCCGUAGAAUAAGCCCCGGCUAACUUCGUGCCAGCCGCCGCGGUAA